AGCAAGAAACUAAAACAGAAAAGACAAUUUUACAGAUACUGUAUACAGAUACUUUUUUUCCAUUCAUGCAACUUUUUUUUUUCUGAAAAAAAAAGUUUAACAUGUGAAGCCAAAAUGCACAAUACAUUUUUUUUCAAAUAUUAACUAAUUUAUCUGGUCCUCCACAUCUGUUUACAUUUCCAAUGCACAUCAUGUACUAAGACAAUUAUAUGAGAGGAGACUGAUUGCCAAGCAAUAACAUAAUUUUAGAGAAAUAAAUGUCCUAACAUAUAGCUUUUUAAAGCAAUGGUACAAAUAUUUCUGGAGUUAGGCAGAAGCCUCAUAACCAAUCGUUCACAAAAGAAAAAAAAAUCACAAAUAAAAUUAAAUAAGAAAAAUACACAAUCGUUCAAAUUGCAUAAAUGUUACCACUUUAGAUGCUUAGCGCUUAUGUAUUAAAUAUUAACACUAAAAUUCUUUAAUAACUUGUGUAUCUGCUAUAAGAUCUUUUUGAUGGACAUGAUUUCAGGAAAACUAGUCUUUUUUCCUUUUUGCCCCUUUUCCCAGAGAUGCUGAACUUCGUACCUCUUUGCCAAUGAUUAUCUCCCCAUAAACCAAACUGGUUUUCUUAAUUAAAAAAAAAUCAUACUUAAUUACAUAUUCUCAAAAUAUUGCAAGAAAAAAUAAGAAUCAGAGAAUUUUAGUAUUGGAAAGAUUAGUUUUCCUUAAUCAGAGUGUAAUUAUUAGAAGAAACUCUUUUUUUUUAAAGGAAAGGCAGAACUUUUGAUUUUGGUUUUGGGAAAGACUGAAGACCUGAAUUUUUCUACUGCUUUUUCUUUUUCCUUACCCAUCCCCAUUGAAUCCCUUACAUUCCUGAGGGGAAUAAUUAAGUGGCUGUGGUACCACUUUGGCCUUGGUUGACUUUCAGAAACCCAAAUGAUGACCAUUAAAAAAAAAAAGAGAAAGAGAGAGAUGCAUCAGGCACAAGAUAAAUCUGUCCUUAUCAUCCUUAGUUCAAUGAACACAAAUUGUUAACUAACUUGAAAUCUUACCCCUAUGAAUGGGAAAUAUCUGCUGGUAAUAUCGAGAGCCACUAAGAGCUUCAUCCUCAGGGAGGAGAGGCAGUAGACAUGUUUAUUAAAAUCAAAACACACACACAAACACACACAUAAUACCACAAAGCCUGCUUUGUACUGUAUCCAAACAUUCCCCUCUGAUUAAUAUUUUUUUUUAAAAAUAAAAAAAAAUUAGUAAUAACACAUCCACCAAAUGACUUUUUUUUUUAAAAAGCAAGAAUAACAUUAUGGUAGAUGAAAGAAAAAAAAAGAAAAACAAUUUCAGAUUCAUUCACUGCUAAGGAUGUACCUGAACCUGAAAAGGGCAGCUCAUAUUCUGCACUUGAGUACAUAAAGGGAAAGCUUGCAAUAAAGCUGUUUCUUAACUUUGGUAAAAGGUGUUUGGGUCUGGGGUCUCAGAGGGGAAAUAGUUCCCGAGAGUGCAUGUCUAAUUAGGAAUAUUAGUUACUCUUCUGGCAGCCCUCCCCAUACUACCCUUAGAAAUGGGGUUAAGGGAAGGGCUGGGAAGGAUUGGAAUUAGGUUGACUGAUACUAGUGAUCAGAUCUCCUAUGGGAAUUGCAUUUUCUAUUUAGCAUCCUACAUCUGAAAAACAGCCAGAGUAGAGCAGGGUUCACUGCUUGCUUUCAAACUUUGUUCAGCUGACACAGAAGUCAGUAAUGGUGCUUCCAGAUGAGAUGCAUGGGCUGAGCAGACAGCAGACUAGCUUUUCCUUUAAGUCUAGUCUUUUGGGAGAGAUGAGUACAACUGGUACUUCCACCCAGCUCGGGUAAACUAGCAGGGAACAAGCUUCUCUCUUUGGCCUUUUAGCUCCUGGGGCUCCUUUCUGCAGGAGACACAGUACAGAAUCAGGAGAACGUUCAAGCCUGUGGGAGGCUAAAGGAACGGACUCAAAGUCCAGAACCAGAUGGGAUCGGACCUUCCUCACUGUUCUUGAGUCCUUCCCCUCUUGUAGCCCUCCUGGAAUCAUUCACUUAGAACACCCCCAUGCUUAAGCUGUUGUUUUACUGAGUCAUUCAAUCAAGGGGGAAAAAAAGACUUCCUGUUCAGUUCUGUAGCUCCCUGAUCCCGUGCUUUCUCGCAUUAAACUGUCUUAGAUUAAAUUCUAAUCUGGGUUCAAGAUAUUUUCUCAAAAUAAUCUCUGAUUAAAACCCACCAAAUGUGGGAAAAGUAGAGAAUAAGAGAUACUUUAUAACUGAAGGGAACUAAAUGACUUCCCUCCCCCCCAACUUAAACAUAUUUACAUAUUUUUUCUGACCUACUUUCUGCCCUCUUUCACCCCCAAACAGCUCUUGGGGUCUAGAGCAACAAUGAAAAAGUAAUUUCCUUAUAACUCAGGAAUUGAAUUGUAAUCUCAGGCUCUCUAGCUGGAGUACCCUGGACUCUCACAUAGCCUAAUAGCUCUUUAUCACUAGCUAGUUACAUUAGGUCAUCUGACAAAAUAACCCAAAAAAGACCAUUCCCCUUCUCCUUCUCCGGCCCACUCUGCUAGCUUGUCCUUUCAGGACAGAGGAAUGAAGAUGGAGUAUUUCUCUUUCACCGAUUUCCUUUUGCCUUUCAGAAAUGACUAGCAAGCAAAAUUUGACAGAUUGGACAAUUUUCAAGCUCUCAUUAUGGUACAGGAAUACAGGAAGUAAGUUCCUGCCAUUGACAAACUGACCAUUUUGAAUACACUUACUACUACCUUUUGCAAUCAAAAGGACAAGAUCUUAAGUUAUUCAAAAAAAAAGGCAUGUCCAGGUUGGUCUACCAUAACCACAACUGCACAAGCAUUUACAAAUUUUGUGAAAUGUAAUAAAACAAACAGAAUCAUCACACACAAAAAAAAGCAUGGCAGGGUUGGGGGAGGCACUAAGAGACCAUAUGGAAUGCCCAACAUACCAGGUAUAAUUGCUACCAAUAUCAGCCCCCAAGAUUAUGUAAAGAAAUAAAAAAGGGGCUUGAUACAUAUAAUGGUGGCAGGUGCUCAGUAGGUGGUGGCAGGUGUACAUGUGUAUUUUGUGUGUCGUGGAAGAAAGUCACUACAUACUGCAUGGGACCAACAUCAGUGAGAACUUCUACACUGAAACUUUGGGCUGGAAUACAGGUUUGUAUUCUUAUCACCUAUGCAUAAUUAUUCAUUUCUGUACUCUACAUAAUAAAAUAUACUUAUGCAUUUAUAUGCAUAAUGAUUUUAUCCAAAAUGGGGAAAAAAGUUUUCAUAGAGCUGGACAAGUGAUCCAAUGCUGGACUAAUUCUUACCAGGUUCUCCCUGUACCAGUGGAACACCCAACUUGCCUCCCUACCAAAGAAACUAACAAAAAUAAUCACACUUUCCAGGUUAAACAGAAAGCACCUACUAUACAGCACCAUUAACUUAAAAAAUUUUUUUUGGAAAAAACUAAAAAAAUAAACAUAAAGUUUAAAAUGGUCUUUCAUUUCCACCAUUUCAUUUGUUCAAAAAUAAUCCAAACUUAUAAAAAAAAAUCAGUUUGUGGGGUAUUAGCUCUUCCCCUUGUACAGUUCUGGGAGAUCUGAUCACACAUCGAGGUGGAAAGUAAUCAAGGAAACAUUUGAAAAAAAUAUGAAACAUCCAAAUUAUAUUCCCUCCCUUUCUCAGUCUGAUCUGUACUUUUCAUAUAGAUUAUCCACUUUAGGCCUGCCAUACUUGUGAAAAGUUUAUCUCACUUUCAAUGCAAAAGAGAACUACUUUCCUCCCUGUCCACUUUUUUAAAAAAAGAAGAAAUUUCUAAGUGGUAUUUGGCAAUGAAUGGGCAUCUUAGCUUAAUUCUCUCCUGAAAAUAGCUGAGUUUCCACUCAAUAAAAAGAUGGUCCACUACACUGAAUGGGGAUCAAGCCAUAAAAACCACAGGCCAUCCUGAUUUAGACAAUAGGGUAUCAGCCUGGGGGUCUCUUUGGUUAGACCCUCUAAAAGAAGCUUCUCAUUCAGAAUUUAAAAAAAGUAAAACAAAACACUGCAUCGGACACAUUGUUCUUCAUUUCUCCUGUGCUAUGUUCUCUUUUUUGGAAAAUGAUUGUGCCAUCGUUAGGUUUCUAAGGAGAGAAUAUCAGACAAAAUACAGAAGAAUAUGUAGCUUAGAUUAUUUGACUCGACAGUCUGUAGUCAGAGGAAUCCCAGAAGCAUGAAUAUUACUGGCAAGGGUCUACUUCCUUCCAAAGUUUUCAGCUUAACAGGGAAAGAAAGGGUGAAUGAAUCUAGUUAACAGAAAAAAUAAAAAACAACCAAAAAACAACAAAACAACAACAAAACACUGCAUGGGCACAGGAGUGAGAGAAGCAAGAAACAAACACAAAACCAAAACUUAAAAGAGCCCAUAAACCAUUGCUAUAUUAUAACACCACAUGAUCAUUGGCAGGGAACUACUGUUAGAGAGUACACAGUGUCAAAACUGACAAAAUGGUGCAGAGGCGUUGGGUGCUGUGUCCACAGAAGGUGCUCCAUCAUCCUGUACAGGGAAGAUUUUGCAUACGUUCUCAAGUUCAAUAGGAGCUUUGCUGGGGGGGAUGAGGGACCAUUAACAGUCUCUGCUUGAUUAGGAAAAUGAUGCAGGAUUGAUUCACAAAGGUUAUUAAGC
Molecule: long non-coding RNA, 4628 nt
Filed under: Sarcophilus harrisii (Tasmanian devil)
Lineage: Eukaryota; Metazoa; Chordata; Mammalia; Dasyuromorphia; Dasyuridae
Description: lncRNA (ENSSHAG00000029262.1)
Source: RNAcentral